RNAcentral lists this ribosomal RNA (403 nucleotides) under bacterium. RNAcentral's name for it is "partial 16S ribosomal RNA". It matches the Rfam family "Bacterial small subunit ribosomal RNA", at positions 355 to 776 of the family's 1533-position model. The record is from RNAcentral.
UGGGGAAUAUUGCACAAUGGGGGCAACCCUGAUGCAGCGACGCCGCGUGAACGAAGAAGGUAUUCGUAUCGUAAAGUUCUGUCCUAUGGGAAGAUAAUGACAGUACCAUAGAAGAAAGCUCCGGCUAAAUACGUGCCAGCAGCCGCGGUAAUACGUAUGGAGCGAGCGUUGUCCGGAAUUAUUGGGCGUAAAGGGUACGCAGGCGGUUUAAUAAGUCGAAUGUUAAAGAUCGGGGCUCAACCCCGUAAAGCAUUGGAAACUGAUAAACUUGAGUAGUGGAGAGGAAAGUGGAAUUCCUAGUGUAGUGGUGAAAUACGUAGAUAUUAGGAGGAAUACCAGUAGCGAAGGCGACUUUCUGGACACAAACUGACGCUGAGGUACGAAAGCGUGGGGAGCAAACAGG